RNAcentral lists this ribosomal RNA (867 nucleotides) under uncultured marine bacterium. RNAcentral describes it as "bacterial SSU rRNA". It matches the Rfam family "Bacterial small subunit ribosomal RNA", at positions 65 to 922 of the family's 1533-position model. The record is from RNAcentral.
GGCAGCAUAGAGAGCUUGCUCUCUGAUGGCGAGUGGCGAACGGGUGAGUAAUAUAUCGGAACGUGCCCAGUAAUGGGGAAUAACUAGCCGAAAGGUUAGCUAAUACCGCAUACGACCUACGGGUGAAAGCAGGGGAUCUUAGGACCUUGCGUUAUUGGAGCGGCCGAUAUCUGAUUAGCUUGUUGGUGGGGUAAAAGCCUACCAAGGCAACGAUCAGUAGCUGGUCUGAGAGGACGAUCAGCCACACUGGAACUGAGACACGGUCCAGACUCCUACGGGAGGCAGCAGUGGGGAAUUUUGGACAAUGGGGGAAACCCUGAUCCAGCCAUCCCGCGUGAGUGAAGAAGGCCUUCGGGUUGUAAAGCUCUUUCGAAAGUGAAGAAAACUUAUUUCAUAAUAUGUUAUGAGUAUGACGGUAACUUUAGAAGAAGCACCGGCUAACUACGUGCCAGCAGCCGCGGUAAUACGUAGGGUGCGAGCGUUAAUCGGAAUUACUGGGCGUAAAGCGUGCGCAGGCGGUUUUGUAAGUCAGAUGUGAAAUCCCCGAGCUUAACUUGGGAACUGCGUUUGAAACUACAAGACUAGAGUGUGUCAGAGGGGGGUAGAAUUCCACGUGUAGCAGUGAAAUGCGUAGAGAUGUGGAGGAAUACCAAUGGCGAAGGCAGCCCCCUGGGAUAACACUGACGCUCAUGCACGAAAGCGUGGGGAGCGAACAGGAUUAGAUACCCUGGUAGUCCACGCCCUAAACGAUGUCAACUAGUUGUUGGUGGAGUAAGAUCCAUGAGUAACGUAGCUAACGCGUGAAGUUGACCGCCUGGGGGAGUACGGUCGCAAAGAUUAAAACUCAAAAGGAAUUGACGGGGGGCC